ACGCACGCUGGCGGCAGGCCUAACCCAUGCAAGUCGCGCGGACCUUUCGGGGUCAGCGGCGGACGGGUGAGUAACGCGUGGGAAUAUGCCCUUCUCUACGGAAUAGUCCUGGGAAACUGGGGGUAAUACCGUAUACGCCCUUUGGGGGAAAGAUUCAUCGGGGAAGGAUUAGCCCGCGUUGGAUUAGGUAGUUGGUGGGGUAAUGGCCUACCAAGCCGACGAUCCAUAGCUGGUUUGAGAGGAUGAUCAGCCACACUGGGACUGAGACACGGCCCAGACUCCUACGGGAGGCAGCAGUGGGGAAUCUUAGACAAUGGGGGCAACCCUGAUCUAGCCAUGCCGCGUGAGUGAUGAAGGCCUUAGGGUUGUAAAGCUCUUUCAGCUGGGAAGAUAAUGACGGUACCAGCAGAAGAAGCCCCGGCUAACUCCGUG
RNAcentral lists this ribosomal RNA (432 nucleotides) under uncultured bacterium. Its description in RNAcentral is "partial 16S ribosomal RNA". It matches the Rfam family "Bacterial small subunit ribosomal RNA", at positions 29 to 507 of the family's 1533-position model. The record is from RNAcentral.